Molecule: ribosomal RNA, 568 nt
Rfam family: Bacterial large subunit ribosomal RNA
ACAUCGCCUCUUGAUUAAAUAUAAGAGGUCCAGCCUGCCCAGUGACAAAAUUUAACGGCCGCGGUACCCUGACCGUGCGAAGGUAGCAUAAUCACUUGUUCUUUAAAUAGGGACUAGUAUCAACGGCAUCACGAGGGUUUUACUGUCUCCUUUCUCCAAUCAGUGAAACUGAUCUUCCCGUGAAGAAGCGGGAAUAAACCUAUAAGACGAGAAGACCCCAUGGAGCUUUAAAUUUCACAGCAACUCAGUAACAUACUUCCUUAUAACUCAAAGAGUUAUGCAUGCCAAUUUUAGGUUGGGGUGACCGCGGAGUAUAAAAUAACCUCCACAUCGAAAAGAACUAAAUCUUUAUUUAAGAGCCACAACUCUAAAAAUUAGUAUACUAACGAACAAUGACCCGAUAAUCGAUCAACGGACCAAGUUACCCUGGGGAUAACAGCGCAAUCUACUUCAAGAGCCCAUAUCGACAAGUAGGCUUACGACCUCGAUGUUGGAUCAGGGUAUCCCAGUGGUGCAGCCGCUACUAAUGGUUCGUUUGUUCAACGAUUAAAACCCUACGUGAUCUGAG